This 106-nucleotide transfer RNA is filed under the name Klebsormidium nitens. It matches the Rfam family "tRNA". Rfam says of the family: Transfer RNA (tRNA) molecules are approximately 80 nucleotides in length. The record is from Rfam by way of RNAcentral. Lineage: Eukaryota; Viridiplantae; Streptophyta; Klebsormidiophyceae; Klebsormidiales; Klebsormidiaceae.
GGGCGUGUAGCUCAGAUGGUAGAGCGCUCGAUUUGCAACGAGUACGUUAUCAUGACGUCAUUCCCCAGCCUUCGAGAGGUAAAGGGAUCGAUACCCUUCUCGUCCA